This 415-nucleotide ribosomal RNA is filed under the name uncultured bacterium. RNAcentral's name for it is "bacterial SSU rRNA". It matches the Rfam family "Bacterial small subunit ribosomal RNA", at positions 508 to 921 of the family's 1533-position model. The record is from RNAcentral.
UCAGCAGCCGCGGUAAGACAGAGGGUGCAAACGUUGUUCGGAAUUACUGGGCGUAAAGCGCGUGUAGGCUGCUUGGAAAGUCGGAUGUGAAAGCCCUGGGCUCAACCCAGGAAGUGCAUUCGAAACUCCCGAGCUCGAGUACCGGAGAGGAAGGCGGAAUUCUCGGUGUAGAGGUGAAAUUCGUAGAUAUCGAGAGGAACACCUGUAGCGAAGGCGGCCUUCUGGACGGUUACUGACGCUGAGACGCGAAAGCGUGGGGAGCAAACAGGAUUAGAUACCCUGGUAGUCCACGCCGUAAACGAUGGGUGCUAGGUGUCGCGGGCUUUGACCCCUGCGGUGCCGUAGCUAACGCAUUAAGCACCCCGCCUGGGGAGUACGGCCGCAAGGCUAAAACUUAAAGGAAUUGGCGGGGGAU